AUACGGAGGGUGCAAACGUUGUUCGGAAUUACUGGGCGUAAAGCGCGCGUAGGCGGUUUGUUAAGUCAGAUGUGAAAGCCCAAGGCUCAACCUUGGACGUGCAUUUGAAACUGGCAGACUUGAGUACUGGAGGGGAUGGUGGAAUUCCCGGUGUAGAGGUGAAAUUCGUAGAUAUCGGGAGGAAUACCGGUGGCGAAGGCGACCAUCUGGCCAGAUACUGACGCUGAGGUGCGAAAGCAUGGGGAGCAAACAGGAUUAGAAACCCUAGUAGUCC
RNAcentral lists this ribosomal RNA (274 nucleotides) under uncultured bacterium. Its description in RNAcentral is "partial 16S ribosomal RNA". It matches the Rfam family "Bacterial small subunit ribosomal RNA", at positions 523 to 796 of the family's 1533-position model. The record is from RNAcentral.